RNAcentral lists this Y RNA (99 nucleotides) under Carlito syrichta (Philippine tarsier). RNAcentral's name for it is "Y RNA (ENSTSYG00000026816.1)". It matches the Rfam family "Y RNA". Rfam says of the family: Y RNAs are components of the Ro ribonucleoprotein particle (Ro RNP), in association with Ro60 and La proteins. The Y RNAs and Ro60 and La proteins are well conserved, but the function of the Ro RNP is not known. In humans the RNA component can be one of four small RNAs -- hY1, hY3, hY4 and hY5. Lineage: Eukaryota; Metazoa; Chordata; Mammalia; Primates; Tarsiidae. The record is from Rfam by way of RNAcentral.
GGCAGGUCUGAGUGCAGUGGUGUUUACAACUAAUUGAUCACAACCAGUUAUAGAUUUCUUUGUUCCUUUACUCUCAUUACUUCACUUGACUAGCAUUUA